GAAGCGGGCGGGGCGGAGGCUGAGCCCGCAGUCAUGUGCCCCGCGGCGGGCGCCGCGAUUCGGCCCUGGCCAGCCGCGCGCGUCCCGGGCGGUCCCCCGGCGCCUGCGGCUCCCCGACCGCGGCCCGGCCCGGCUGCGCUCCCGGCUCCUCGGUCACCCCGGAAAAUGGCCUGUGCUCCCCGGCGCAUUCACUCACCCGCUCAGCAGGGGUGAACUGCGGGCCUCCCGAGUGCCAGGCACUGGGGAUUCGGGGUGGAUACCACCUUGGCCCCCGCUCUAGACUAGCUCCCCGGUUAGCAGGGACACUGUUACAGCCAUUACUGCACAAUGUUACAGGUGCUUUUAUGAGGUGCAUGCUGAGAUUUGUGCCCACAAGCGUAUUCUGGGCGCGUGACCUAAGACCCCACAGUUGAACUGAAUCUUGGAGGAUGGUGUUAGACAGGAACACUCUGCAAGAGACUGAUGAGGGAACAUACACAGGAAGCUGGACCUGGGAUGCAGGUGUGAGCUAUGUGGAGAAGCAAGGAAGGACGGUUGUAUGGAAGGAAGCUUCUUAUACUACAGUGCAGCUCUAAGAAAGUUCAGCAAGGCUGUGGGGGUUCCUCAAGCCACACUGGCCUAUCCCAGGAGUCCAGCAUCUCCCAGGAAUAGACCUCUCGUACUUAGUCAUGGGCUGCGAGCAGCCGCGGCAAGAUGGCCUCUGCACCAAGCUGGCGAUAAAUAUCAGAGGAGAGAUUUCCGAUCUCAGUCUCUGGGACAGAUCCACUGGUCGGUUGUGCUCUGCACUGGAAGAUCUGAGAAGUACAUUUUCUUGGUCGCUAUAAUGGUAUUAUUCCUGUCUCACAAGAGGAAACCGUGGCUCUGUAAGGUUCUGAUGAUGUUGGGGGAAUGUCAUUAACAAUGAAAUCUUCUGCCAACCAAGGAGAAGAGAAAGAAAACAGUUUUAUGAAUUGAAUAAUCAUUAAGCCAGAAUGAGAUGUGCAUCACAGGCUAUCAGCUAAAGAUAUGGCAAAGGCAGAAAAAAAAUCUCACCUUUUUAUUUACCCAGGCGGAUAUAACCUAUUCUGUACAUGUCCUCAAGAUGAACAAUAACAACUCCUCAAGUAAGAGGACGUGGCAGCACCGUUCGUCACACAGGACAGCCACAAUCGAGUGGCCAUUUGUGUCAGCAGUUGCCUUCACCCAAAGGGAAAAGAAGACUUCCUGUGUCUUUAGGACAGGUAGUCGUUUUACAGCUUAGAGCCAGGCACCUGCUCCUACCAUCCCACAGAAACUGGGACAGAGGAAUGCUAUCUUCUUGAUGAUUCAUAUCAAAGAGAUGGCGCCCAGGCCCUUAAGAAAGACAUUCCUGGAUUGUAAAGAUGGCAAAAACUUAAUUUCACUUUGAAAAAGACAUACAUACACCUCAAAGGGACAGAGAAGAAUUUGCAAUUACAAAUUGUCUUUAACGCUCUCUAAGAAAAGUAGUGGUGGUGGUGGUGGGGGGUGUCUCUUUCCAUUGCUGCACUGGGGAAAAUUUAUUUAUCUUUUCUAUUUAUUUUUACCCUUCCCCCAGCACCUGUGAAGCGGCACCUACCCUCCCAGAGGUUAAUUUGACUAAACAGCCUUAGAGGCAGGAGUAGAAUCCAAGGGAAGGAACGGCAGGUGAGCUUAGGAGAAAGCAGAUGGCUGCAGACAGGUGAGCCAGGCAGCCCGGGGGUGGAGCGAGCCCAUAGGGCCUUGCUUGCCCCAGGUGUUUGCACUAGCCCUCCAUCUCAGCUGUCUUCUAUCAGUAACUGCCUCAUAAGAAGCAGACACAGCUUCUGACAAAGAUAACUCAUUGCUAAUUCAAGUAAGAUUUUAAAGCAAUAUGACAACGAUCAUGACCAUAAAAAUGCUGGGUGAAAGUAAAGCCCUUGCUAAGAAAGGACACGUGUCCUAUAAGUGGGCCAUCAUUUCAGUAAUAAAGGAGAGACCAUGACCGAAACCUAGAUAAUUAUCUUUGAUGACAUAACUACUCCAUUUAAUGACCUUACCAAUAUUUGUCCCUUCUUCCAGACAUUUCUCAAAUUUAUUUUAAUGAAGGUUAAUUAAAAUUGCCCCAAAGAACACUGUAAAAAUGAUAUGUCUUGUUUGCCAUCUAUGGUAAUAUUAGAAGCAAAAAGAAAGUUUUUCUCUGGAUCUUGAGAAAAAAGAAGGAAAGUCUUGGAUACCAGCAGUAUCAGACAUGGUGAACUUCUGAGAAUGAGAUGGAACUCCUUCCUGUAUGUCCUGAAGUUUGCCCUCCUGGAAAAUAAAAGCAAGUGUCAUGCAGAAGAUAGAGAACUUUUUAUUGCGUUAAAUGUGUGCCUUACUCCUGACACUGUAGAAAAACGGAGAGACCAAGCACAGAGAGAUCCAACCAUGAGAUUAUUUCUGCAGUGCUUGGAAGAGUUCCCAGAACUUGGUAGGUUCUUAAUAUUUGUUGAAAGCUAAAUGUCAAACCUUUGACUAAAGUGGGAGGAAUUUAGGGGUGCUAGUUAAGGGAGGAGGAAGCUUUUUUGUCAUGAUCAUCUCGUACUUGAUGUCAGUGUUCGAGGGCACUUUCUAUACAGCUGUCCUCAUCCAAUGUGCUUUCAAUAAGCAAUCCUGUACAGAGAGCUCUCCGGUAGAGUACAGCUAGAUUUGAGCUCUAAUUCUGUGUGAACUCUAUGAGAGCAAGCCACGGGUUUUACUUGUUUCUAUACCCUAGAAAGUAGUACAGUGGUACAUAGGAGACGCUCAUAAAUGCUGAUGGGGGAUUUUGCUAAACCUUUCUAUUGAGAACAUUCACAUUUAAUGACAUUUUGAGAGAGGGAGAGAAGGAAGCAGAGAGUGGCAAGAGGGAGGUUGGAGAGAGAUUGAUUUGGGGAAAGAAAUUCUAUUUUCAAAACAUCAAAUCUGUCAAAUCAGCUUUAAUAGUCUUAGUUUUCAGGGCGCCAGGGUGGCUCAGUCAGUUAAGCAUCUGCCUUCGACUAAGGUCAUGAUCUUGGGGUCCUGGGAUCGAGCCCUGCAUCAAGCUCGCCGCUCAGCAGCGAGUCUGCUUCUCUAUCUGCCUCUGUGAUCUCUCUUGUUUUGCUCUCUCAAAUAAAUAAAUAAAAUCUUUGGAAAAAAAAUAGUCUUAGUUU
Molecule: long non-coding RNA, 3125 nt
Organism: Mirounga angustirostris (Northern elephant seal)
Lineage: Eukaryota; Metazoa; Chordata; Mammalia; Carnivora; Phocidae
Exons: 3
Source: RefSeq, a predicted model, not a curated record